CCAGACUCCUACGGGAGGCAGCAGUGGGGGAUAUUGGACAAUGGGGGAAACCCUGAUCCAGCGACGCCGCGUGAGUGAAGAAGUAUUUCGGUAUGUAAAGCUCUAUCAGCAGGGAAGAAAGAAAUGACGGUACCUGAGUAAGAAGCCCCGGCUAACUCCGUGCCAGCAGCCGCGGUAAUACGGAGGAUGCGAGCGUUAUCCGGAUUUAUUGGGUUUAAAGGGUGCGCAGGCGGCACGGCAAGCCGGCGGUCAAAUCGCGGGGCUCAACCCCGCCCAGCCGUCGGAACUGCCGGGCUAGAGUGGGCGAGAAGUGCGCGGAAUGCGUGGUGUAGCGGUGAAAUGCAUAGAUAUCGCGCAGAACUCCGAUUGCGAAGGCAGCAUGCCGGCUCCACACUGACGCUGAGGCACGAAAGCGUGGGUAUCGAACAGGAUUAGAUACCCCUGUAA
RNAcentral lists this ribosomal RNA (447 nucleotides) under uncultured bacterium. RNAcentral describes it as "bacterial SSU rRNA". It matches the Rfam family "Bacterial small subunit ribosomal RNA", at positions 331 to 793 of the family's 1533-position model. The record is from RNAcentral.